AAAUUGAAGAGUUUGAUCAUGGCUCAGAUUGAACGCUGGCGGCAGGCCUAACACAUGCAAGUCGAACGGUAACAGGAAGCAGCUUGCUGCUUCGCUGACGAGUGGCGGACGGGUGAGUAAUGUCUGGGAAGCUGCCUGAUGGAGGGGGAUAACUACUGGAAACGGUGGCUAAUACCGCAUAACGUCGCAAGACCAAAGAGGGGGACCUUCGGGCCUCUUGCCAUCAGAUGUGCCCAGAUGGGAUUAGCUAGUUGGUGAGGUAACGGCUCACCAAGGCGACGAUCCCUAGCUGGUCUGAGAGGAUGACCAGCCAC
Molecule: ribosomal RNA, 314 nt
Filed under: Salmonella enterica
Lineage: Bacteria; Pseudomonadati; Pseudomonadota; Gammaproteobacteria; Enterobacterales; Enterobacteriaceae
Description: bacterial SSU rRNA
Rfam family: Bacterial small subunit ribosomal RNA
Source: RNAcentral